UGUGAGUAUUCCCGCCAAAGCAAUGCAUU
Molecule: non-coding RNA, 29 nt
Filed under: Mus musculus (house mouse)
Lineage: Eukaryota; Metazoa; Chordata; Mammalia; Rodentia; Muridae
Source: RNAcentral